RNAcentral lists this ribosomal RNA (427 nucleotides) under uncultured bacterium. RNAcentral's name for it is "bacterial SSU rRNA". It matches the Rfam family "Bacterial small subunit ribosomal RNA", at positions 107 to 518 of the family's 1533-position model. The record is from RNAcentral.
CGAGUAACACGUGGACAAUCUGCCCCCCGGCCCGGGAUAGCCCAGGGAAACCUGGAUUAAUACCGGAUGAGACGGGACCCGCGAUGGCGGGACCGGGAAAGGCGCUGCGGCGCCGCCGGGGGAUGAGUCUGCCGUCCCAUUAGCUAGACGGCGGGGUAACGGCCCACCGUGGCGACGAUGGGUAGCCGGCCUGAGAGGGUGGACGGCCACAUUGGAACUGAGACACGGUCCAGACUCCUACGGGAGGCAGCAGCUAAGAAUCUUCCGCAAUGGGCGAAAGCCUGACGGAGCGAACCGCCGCGUGAACGAAGAAGGCCGUGAGGUUGUAAAGUUCUUUUCGGGAGGGGGAACAACCGUGGCAGGGAAUGGCCGCGGGAUGACGUGAAUCCCGGAAUAACGCCCCGGCUAACUACGUGCCAGCAGCUGC